UGGAUGUUUGUUAUAGAACAAAACAUUGGAGACCCGUCGAGAGAUUCCACAUGGAUAACUAUCUGAGUGUCGGUGGUUAAUCUCUAACGUUCGGUAGUGAAAUUGGUCCUUUGACUUGAGGUCGUCAUGGUACCUUAUAUGAGGACAGUCAUACUUUGGCGGUGUUGGAUGUUGCUCUGAAAAGGGCCGCUAAUACGACAUCGUUCGGAUACGUCAAGAAUCGUAUGAAGGUUGUGAUUGAUCAAUAAAGGAUUCGUCACUCUUAGAUAGUAGGAGAUUAUGAUCUGCGUUUCAUUCAAUUAAGUCAAUGAUGAAAUCCUUGGCCAAGGUGUACUCAUAA
RNAcentral lists this long non-coding RNA (340 nucleotides) under Olea europaea (common olive). RNAcentral describes it as "long non-coding RNA (OEUR_LNC007414)". The record is from RNAcentral. Lineage: Eukaryota; Viridiplantae; Streptophyta; Magnoliopsida; Lamiales; Oleaceae.